UGGCAUAAAGAUAAAUACCAACAUUUCUAGAUCACAUUUUCUGUCUGAAGACUAAAAUACUAUAAAAUAACUUUUGCUACUAUCAUUUUGAAUCAUUUUACAGUUUCUCUUCUAUUUAAUAUUUAGUUUAUAUUAUAGUGCAUCUUUGUUAUUCCCCCAGAUUUUCAUUAUUUAGAUUUUCUAUGAAGUGGUAAAACAUUGAAAUAUUUUCUCUUCUUAUUGUGCAUGAGUGUUUCCCUCACUGAGCUCUGCUAAUUUUUUUUCAAAGUGAUGAAAAAUACAAGGGAUUAGUAAGUAAAAGGCUGAAUAGAAAAGAAUACAAAUAUAGAAAAAACCCAACAAUUACCUGUACAUAUAUUGAAGAACUAAUCUGUUUUAAACGCUGAAGAAAUCACCAUCACAGCUACUGUCAAGACCUUGAUUUAAGUAUUACUUAUAAACAACGGUAUAUCAGAUUAAACUCUAUCUUGUCCCUUAAUUCAAUGACAAAACUAAUAAUUUUUCUUAGUUCUCUGUGUUCACUCAAAACCUAAAAGUGUAUUUAAAAGUUUUCCUUACAGCUUAUGCUUCACUUUCCUUAAUGCUCCUUUAUUUUUGUGCAGACUUACAGAAAAUGCAGUUUGGCUACCAAUUUAAAAAUACCUGUUAUUAUUAAAUUUAAAAAAAAAAAAAAAAAAAAAAA
Molecule: non-coding RNA, 682 nt
Organism: Taeniopygia guttata (zebra finch)
Lineage: Eukaryota; Metazoa; Chordata; Aves; Passeriformes; Estrildidae
Source: RefSeq, a predicted model, not a curated record